GACGAACGCUGGCGGCGUGCUUAACACAUGCAAGGCGAACGGAAAGGCCCUGCUUUUGUGGGGUGCUCGAGUGGCGAACGGGUGAGUAACACGUGAGUAACCUGCCCGUGACUUUGGGAUAACUUCAGGAAACUGGGGCUAAUACCGGAUAGGAGCUCCUGCUGCAUGGUGGGGGUUGGAAAGUUUCGGCGGUUGGGGAUGGACUCGCGGCUUAUCAGCUUGUUGGUGGGGUAGUGGCUUACCAAGGCUUUGACGGGUAGCCGGCCUGAGAGGGUGACCGGCCACAUUGGGACUGAGAUACGGCCCAGACUCCUACGGGAGGCAGCAGUGGGGAAUAUUGCACAAUGGGCGGAAGCCUGAUGCAGCAACGCCGCGUGCGGGAUGACGGCCUUCGGGUUGUAAACCGCUUUCGCCUGUGACGAAGCGUGAGUGACGGUAAUGGGUAAAGAAGCACCGGCUAACUACGUG
Molecule: ribosomal RNA, 468 nt
Filed under: uncultured bacterium
Lineage: Bacteria
Description: partial 16S ribosomal RNA
Rfam family: Bacterial small subunit ribosomal RNA
Source: RNAcentral